ACAGUCAAGAAUCCAUUUCACAGAUGAGGAAAUCAAGGUCUGGAGGAGACAGAGGGAUCCAUCCAAGGUCACACGGGAGGACUGGGGUCAGGUCCCAGGUCCCUUAUUUCUCUGUUCGGGGGCCUCCCACAGCACAGCACUGCCUCUGGGUGGGAAGCUGCCCAUCUGUCUACAUCCAGGACCUGGAUACCUUCUUCUUCUCCCCACUCUCCCAGGCAACCUGGCUGCUCCUGGCCCUUGGCUGGGUCUUCGUCCCUGUGUACAUCGCAGCGGGUGUGGUCACAAUGCCACAGUACCUGAAGAAGCGAUUUGGGGGCCAGAGGAUCCAGGUGUACAUGUCUGUCCUGUCUCUCAUCCUCUACAUCUUCACCAAGAUCUCGACUGACAUCUUCUCUGGAGCCCUCUUCAUCCAGAUGGCAUUGGGCUGGAACCUGUACCUCUCCACAGGGAUCCUGCUGGUGGUGACUGCUGUCUACACCAUUGCAGGGGGCCUCACGGCCGUGAUCUACACAGACGCUCU
RNAcentral lists this small RNA (520 nucleotides) under Pongo abelii (Sumatran orangutan). RNAcentral's name for it is "retained intron". The record is from RNAcentral. Lineage: Eukaryota; Metazoa; Chordata; Mammalia; Primates; Hominidae.